UACGGGAGGGGACUAGCGUUGUUCGGAAUUACUGGGCGUAAAGCGCACGUAGGCGGAUUUGUAAGUCAGGGGUGAAAUCCCGGGGCUCAACCUCGGAACUGCCUUUGAUACUGCAAUCUCGAGUCCGGAAGAGGUGAGUGGAAUUCCUAGUGUAGAGGUGAAAUUCGUAGAUAUUAGGAAGAACACCAGUGGCGAAGGCGGCUCACUGGUCCGGUACUGACGCUGAGGUGCGAAAGCGUGGGGAG
RNAcentral lists this ribosomal RNA (245 nucleotides) under uncultured bacterium. RNAcentral's name for it is "partial 16S ribosomal RNA". It matches the Rfam family "Bacterial small subunit ribosomal RNA", at positions 524 to 768 of the family's 1533-position model. The record is from RNAcentral.